CCCACCCACUUGAUGGGGUAAGGCUCCCAGUAGACGACUGGGUUGAUAGGCCGGAUCUGGAAGCCAGGUAACUGGUGGAGGUGACCGGUACUAAUAGGCCGAGGGCUUGUCCU
This 113-nucleotide ribosomal RNA is filed under the name Streptomyces sp. PsTaAH-130. RNAcentral's name for it is "partial 23S ribosomal RNA". It matches the Rfam family "Bacterial large subunit ribosomal RNA", at positions 2813 to 2925 of the family's 2925-position model. Lineage: Bacteria; Bacillati; Actinomycetota; Actinomycetes; Kitasatosporales; Streptomycetaceae. The record is from RNAcentral.